GCCUUGGGAGCCCGGCGGGAACUCCCGUGGGCUCCCGCUGCUUGCGGAUAGCUUCCUGAAGCCCCGGGUGCACAGCGCCGCGCUCCCCGGGCUUUGGGCUGCAGGCAGCUGUGCGCAAGCCUGCGGAGAGCUGCCCGAAGCCCGGGGUGCGCUCCGCUGCACUCCCCCGGUUUCGGGCUGCAGGCUGCUGUCCACAAGCCUUGGGAGCCCAGCGGGAACUCCCACCGGGGUCCCAAGGCUUGCGGAUAGCUUCCUGAAGCCUGGAGAGCGAGGGGGGUUGGUGCGCACCAACCCCUCUUGCUUUGCAGGCUUCAGCGAAAGCCUGCAUUCGCCCCAUAGGACGCACACACAUUUCCCCUUCAUUUUUGGAGGGGAAAAAGUGCGUCCUAUAGGGCGAAAAAUACGGAAAUUCUGUGCUCAGGAAGCCAGCUUAACCUAGGUGGCGGGAAGGUGUUGCUUAGCAACCAGACAGAGUGGCAUGAUGCUUACUGGCGUAGCAGUUCUGAGGGAGUUUUAACUCUGUAUGUUAGUUACCCGUCUCCCUGCCUGAACUAAGAAAGACACAGCCUCUCUUCCUUUCUCCACAAAUGAUACCCAGGUUUUUUCAGUUUGCUCAGUAAAGUGUCAUCAAGACUUUU
This is a long non-coding RNA of Podarcis raffonei (Aeolian wall lizard), 638 nucleotides long. RefSeq lists it as uncharacterized. The record is from RefSeq and is a predicted model, not a curated record. The transcript is spliced from 2 exons. NCBI's taxonomy places the organism in Eukaryota, Metazoa, Chordata, Lepidosauria, Squamata, Lacertidae.